ACAUCCGUAGCUCAGUUGGUUAGAGUGCUAUCUUGACAUGGUAGAGGGCGGUGGUUCAAAUCCACUCGGAUGUA
Molecule: transfer RNA, 74 nt
Filed under: secondary endosymbiont of Heteropsylla cubana
Lineage: Bacteria; Pseudomonadati; Pseudomonadota; Gammaproteobacteria; Enterobacterales; Enterobacteriaceae
Rfam family: tRNA
About the family: Transfer RNA (tRNA) molecules are approximately 80 nucleotides in length. Their secondary structure includes four short double-helical elements and three loops (D, anti-codon, and T loops). Further hydrogen bonds mediate the characteristic L-shaped molecular structure. tRNAs have two regions of fundamental functional importance: the anti-codon, which is responsible for specific mRNA codon recognition, and the 3' end, to which the tRNAs corresponding amino acid is attached (by aminoacyl-tRNA synthetases). tRNAs cope with the degeneracy of the genetic code in two manners: having more than one tRNA (with a specific anti-codon) for a particular amino acid; and 'wobble' base-pairing, i.e. permitting non-standard base-pairing at the 3rd anti-codon position.
Source: Rfam by way of RNAcentral